Etheostoma cragini (Arkansas darter) is the source of this 110-nucleotide long non-coding RNA. RefSeq lists it as uncharacterized. The record is from RefSeq and is a predicted model, not a curated record. NCBI's taxonomy places the organism in Eukaryota, Metazoa, Chordata, Actinopteri, Perciformes, Percidae. The transcript has 3 exons.
AUCACAUUUUCAUUACUCACGACAAUCCCAGCAGUCCCACGUGAAGCCACUGACCAAGUGGGAGCGGGAACGGGUCAAAUUAAUUUACGUGUUUUUGUUAUGAAGAAGAG